This 347-nucleotide unclassified non-coding RNA is filed under the name soil metagenome. RNAcentral describes it as "partial contains 5.8S ribosomal RNA, internal transcribed spacer 2, and large subunit ribosomal RNA". The stretch from base 1 to 120 matches the Rfam family "5.8S ribosomal RNA", at positions 35 to 154 of the family's 154-position model. The record is from RNAcentral.
GAUGAAGAACGUAGUGAAAUGCGAUAAUUAAUGUGAAUUGCAGAAUUCAGUGAAUCAUCGAGUCUUUGAACGCACAUUGCGCCCCCUGGUAUUCCGGGGGGCAUGCCUGUCCGAGCGUCAUUGCUGCCCUCAAGCACGGCUUGUGUGUUGGGCUUCCGUCCCUGGCAACGGGGACGGGCCCAAAAGGCAGUGGCGGCACCAUGUCUGGUCCUCGAGCGUAUGGGGCUUUGUCACCCGCUCCCGUAGGUCCAGCUGGCAGCUAGCCUCGCAACCAAUCUUUUUAACCAGGUUGACCUCGGAUCAGGUAGGGAUACCCGCUGAACUUAAGCAUAUAAAUAAGCGGAGGA